UGCCAGCAGCCGCGGUAAUACGUAGGUGGCAAGCGUUGUCCGGAUUUAUUGGGCGUAAAGCGAGCGCAGGUGGUUUCUUAAGUCUGAUGUGAAAGCCCACGGCUCAACCGUGGAAGGUCAUUGGAAACUGGGGAACUUGAAUGCAGAAGAGGAGAGUGGAAUUCCAUGUGUAGCGGUGAAAUGCGUAGAUAUAUGGAGGAACACCAGUGGCGAAGGCGACUCUCUGGUCUGUUAUUGACACUGAGGCUCGAAAGCGUGGGGAGCAAACAGGAUUAGAUACCCUGGUAGUCCACGCCGUAAACGAUGAGUGCUAAGUGUUGGAGGGCUUCCACCCUUCAGUGCUGCAGUUAACGCAUUAAGCACUCCGCCUGGGGAGUACGGCCGCAAGGCUGAAACUCAAAGGAAUUGACGGGGGCCCGCACAAG
Molecule: ribosomal RNA, 425 nt
Filed under: uncultured bacterium
Lineage: Bacteria
Description: bacterial SSU rRNA
Rfam family: Bacterial small subunit ribosomal RNA
Source: RNAcentral